Molecule: ribosomal RNA, 245 nt
Filed under: uncultured bacterium
Lineage: Bacteria
Description: partial 16S ribosomal RNA
Rfam family: Bacterial small subunit ribosomal RNA
Source: RNAcentral
UACGAAGGCCCCGAGCGUUAUCCGGAUUUAUUGGGCGUAAAGAGUUCAACGGCGGUUAAGUAAGUUGAGAGUCAAAUAUCAGGGCUCAACCUUGAUACUGCUUUCAAUACUGCUUGACUUGAGGGUGGAAGAGGUAAGCGGAAUUGUCGGUGUAGCGGUGAAAUGCGUUGAUAUCGACAAGAACACCAAUUGCGAAGGCAGCUUACUAGUACACACCUGACGCUUCAAGAACGAAAGCGUGGGGA